This 28-nucleotide non-coding RNA is filed under the name Mus musculus (house mouse). Lineage: Eukaryota; Metazoa; Chordata; Mammalia; Rodentia; Muridae. The record is from RNAcentral.
UGCAUAAUGCAGCCACCUGCACCCAUGU